This 226-nucleotide long non-coding RNA is filed under the name Elaeis guineensis (African oil palm). Its description in RNAcentral is "long non-coding RNA (EGUI_LNC024673)". The record is from RNAcentral. Lineage: Eukaryota; Viridiplantae; Streptophyta; Magnoliopsida; Arecales; Arecaceae.
GUUGAGUAGUGAGUUUCUCUUAUAUUGUUGUAUUUUAUUCUCUCAUAGUGAAGCUUGCACACCUGGUAGAGCUAAGCUUGAGGUCGAUCCAUGUAUUUGUAUUAUAUUUUUUAUUUUGUUUCUUCUUUCUUUUUGCUGUAAUGGUGAUAUCAGAUUCUCCACAAUAAUUGGUAUCAGAGCAAGGUGGUAUCAGAGUAUAGGUUGCAAUGGUGGUGAUCGAGAUAGA